GACGUCAAGUCCUCAUGGCCCUUAUGGGUAGGGCUUCACACGUCAUACAAUGGUCGGUACAGAGGGUUGCCAACCCGCGAGGGGGAGCUAAUCCCACAAAGCCGAUCGUAGUCCGGAUCGCAGUCUGCAACUCGACUGCGUGAAGUCGGAAUCGCUAGUAAUCGUGGAUCAGCAUGUCACGGUGAAUACGUUCCCGGGUCUU
RNAcentral lists this ribosomal RNA (202 nucleotides) under uncultured Rhodocyclaceae bacterium. Its description in RNAcentral is "partial 16S ribosomal RNA". It matches the Rfam family "Bacterial small subunit ribosomal RNA", at positions 1181 to 1382 of the family's 1533-position model. Lineage: Bacteria; Pseudomonadati; Pseudomonadota; Betaproteobacteria; Rhodocyclales; Rhodocyclaceae. The record is from RNAcentral.